CGAGUGAGCGGCAAAGCUCAAUUUGAAAUCUAGCACCUUCGGUGUUCGAGUUGUAAUUUGAAGAUGGUAACCUUGGGUUUGGCUCUUGUCUAUGUUCCUUGGAACAGGACGUCAUAGAGGGUGAGAAUCCCGUCUGAUGAGAUGCCCAUUCCUAUGUAAGGUGCUAUCGAAGAGUCGAGUUGUUUGGGAAUGCAGCUCUAAGUGGGUGGUAAAUUCCAUCUAAAGCUAAAUAUUGGCGAGAGACCGAUAGCGAACAAGUACAGUGAUGGAAAGAUGAAAAGAACUUUGAAAAGAGAGUGAAAAAGUACGUGAAAUUGUUGAAAGGGAAGGGCAUUAGAUCAGACUUGGUGUUUUACGAUUAUCUUCUCUUCUUGAGUUGUGCACUCGUAUUUCACUGGGCCAGCAUCGAUUCGGAUGGCAAGAUAAUGGCAGUUGAAUGUGGCUUCACUUCGGUGGAGUGUUAUAGCUUCUGCUGAUAUUGCCUGUCUGGAUCGAGGGCUGCGUCUUUUGACUAGGAUGCUGGCGUAAUGAUCUAAUGCCGCCCGUC
This 547-nucleotide ribosomal RNA is filed under the name Hansenula anomala. Its description in RNAcentral is "Wickerhamomyces anomalus partial large subunit ribosomal RNA". It matches the Rfam family "Eukaryotic large subunit ribosomal RNA", at positions 90 to 653 of the family's 3401-position model. Lineage: Eukaryota; Fungi; Ascomycota; Saccharomycetes; Phaffomycetales; Wickerhamomycetaceae. The record is from RNAcentral.